AACGAACGCUGGCGGCAGGCCUAACACAUGCAAGUCGAACGCUCCGCAAGGGGAGUGGCGCACGGGUGAGUAACACGUGGGAACCUACCUUCUGGUACGGAACAACCAAGGGAAACUUUGGCUAAGACCGUAUACGACCUCCGGGUGAAAGAUUGAUCGCCGGAAGAGGGGCCCGCGUCCGAUUAGGUAGUUGGUGAGGUAACGGCUCACCAAGCCUUCGAUCGGUAGCUGGUCUGAGAGGANGACCAGCCACACUGGGACUGAGACACGGCCCAGACUCCUACGGGAGGCAGCAGUGGGGAAUAUUGGACAAUGGGCGCAAGCCUGAUCCAGCCAUGCCGCGUGAGUGAUGAAGGCCUUC
This 361-nucleotide ribosomal RNA is filed under the name uncultured bacterium. RNAcentral's name for it is "bacterial SSU rRNA". It matches the Rfam family "Bacterial small subunit ribosomal RNA", at positions 29 to 419 of the family's 1533-position model. The record is from RNAcentral.